Molecule: small RNA, 705 nt
Filed under: Pan troglodytes (chimpanzee)
Lineage: Eukaryota; Metazoa; Chordata; Mammalia; Primates; Hominidae
Description: processed transcript
Source: RNAcentral
AACUCACAUUUCAGAUAAGGAAGAAAUGGGUCAAAACAUUUUAAAGCUGCUGCUUUCCCUGACAACAUCCUUUGCUUGUUAAGCACGCUUCAAUUUGAUUUGGUUCCCAGGCUUGCUUUGAAGACAUGCUGUGUGCUAGAGAAGGCUGGGCCUGAGGAGUUGGAGACCCUGGAAGCUAUCCUGAAUUUCAAAUACUCUGGAGGCCCGGGCCACACUGAAGGAUAUUACAGGAAUCUCUCCCUGGGGCUGCAUGUAGAAGUUGAGCCAUCUGUAUUUUUCACCCGAGUCAGCACCCUCCCAGCAACCAGUACCCGGCAGUGUCACCUGCUCCUGGAUGUCUUCAACUCCACCGAGCAUGAGCUGACGGUCAGCACCAGGAGCAGCGAGGCGCUCAUCCUGCACGCCGGCGAGUGCCAGCGAAUGGCUAUUCAAGUGGACAAGUUCAACUUUGAGAGUUUCCCGGAGUCCCCUGGGGAGAAGGGGCAAUUUGCAAACCCCAAGCAGCUGGAGGAAGAGCGGCGGGAAGCCCGAGGCCUGGAGAUCCACAGCAAGCUGGGCAUCUGCUGGAGAAUCCCCUCCCUGAAGCGCAGCGGCGAGGCGAGUGUGGAAGGACUCCUGAACCAGCUCGUCCUGGAGCACCUGCAGCUGGCGCCUCUGCAGUGGGAUGUGCUGGUGGACGGACAGCCAUGUGACCGCGAGGCUGCG